RNAcentral lists this transfer RNA (75 nucleotides) under Actinomycetes bacterium. RNAcentral's name for it is "Actinobacteria bacterium tRNA-Gly". It matches the Rfam family "tRNA". From Rfam's summary of the family: Transfer RNA (tRNA) molecules are approximately 80 nucleotides in length. Their secondary structure includes four short double-helical elements and three loops (D, anti-codon, and T loops). Further hydrogen bonds mediate the characteristic L-shaped molecular structure. tRNAs have two regions of fundamental functional importance: the anti-codon, which is responsible for specific mRNA codon recognition, and the 3' end, to which the tRNAs corresponding amino acid is attached (by aminoacyl-tRNA synthetases). tRNAs cope with the degeneracy of the genetic code in two manners: having more than one tRNA (with a specific anti-codon) for a particular amino acid; and 'wobble' base-pairing, i.e. permitting non-standard base-pairing at the 3rd anti-codon position. The record is from RNAcentral. RNAcentral also lists the same sequence under 1 other name. Lineage: Bacteria; Bacillati; Actinomycetota; Actinomycetes.
GUGGUCGUCGUCCAACGGCGAGGAUGCGAGCACGCCAUGCUUGUGAUGCGGGUUCGACUCCCGCCGACCACACCA